UCAUCUAUGCAGUAACAAAGUACUUCCUGGUGUUCACAGAGAACCUCCUGUAUUUCAAUUUCUGUUUGUUGCCUGUUUAUUGCCACUAGACACCAUGGAAAAGAGCCCAGAUCAAUCUUCUCUGUACCUUCUCUUCGGGUGUUUACAGGCAUUUACGCGCUUACCCCAGAACCUCUUCUGCAGGCUGAAUGAUUCCAGCUCUCUCAGCUUUUCCUCAUAGAAGAGAUGUUCCAGUCCUUUGAUCAUUUGGUGGCCCUAUUUUGGACCCUUCAUAGUAUAUCCAGCUUUCUCUUGUACUAAGAAGCCAAGAACUGGACACAGUACUCCAAGUGGUUCCUCAGCCACCCAAGUAGAAGUUUGCCUUAGGUGGCUCCUGCUGAGCAGAAGAAGAUAAGAGCAACCAACACUGUCACUUUAGGAAACAGCAGGGAAAAACCUCAGAAUUGUCCCAAACAAUCUCGAGAGGGCUCCUCUGAGAAGUCCUGCUGGAGUUCAAGAAGUGUCUGGACAAUGCACUCAAUCAUACCUCAGAUUUUUGUGUGGUCCUGUGUGGAACCAGAUGAGUGUCUGGCUAUCAUCUGAAAUGAGCAACUUCAUUCACUAAACAAAGGAAACCAAAACUCUGAUGUGUGAAAAAUUCUAGGAGCAGCAAGAAGUGUAACAGUCUUCUCUUUAAAGCCUGCUGCUAUUAUUAAGUAAUGUAAAACGAGAGACUGGAACUGUGUAAAGCGUGGAAAUCGUGUGACUUCUGCUUAUGUGAAAGGAGAUGGUAGACGGCAUAUCAUUCAUCUCUCCUGUCUCAUUCCUGUAAUGCUUCACUCCUGGGAGGAACACUUGAAAAAUCAAGAAGUACUUAAGGCACGGGUAAUCUCACAACAUCACUUAGUGCAAAUGAUUUUAAAGAUUUUGACAAAUGUUGACUAGAUAUUAUCAUCACCUUUUCUCUAUAAAAAAGAAAUUAUGGAAGAAGGAUGACAAUUCAUGCAUAUGCAAAUGAAAUAGUUCAGCCUAAGUAACUUGUGACAGAGCAGUGAUUCGGUAAAGGGGGCAGGAAGGCCUAGUUGCAUAAUGCUUUAAAAUGGAAGCUGGAAUGCCAAAACAUCCCCAUGUUAGACAGCAAAGAUUCCCUUCUGGUAAGAAAUAUAUCUUUUAACAGUCAUGGAAUGGGAGUCCUCGAGGAAUUACUUUUUGUACACAGAUUUUGGUAAGCAGAGCUGGCAUGGAGCAUUGAACAAAACAUAAGGCAUCUGAUGAAGCUUACGUGAUGGGUUCUGGUGCAAGUCUACAUAAAGGGUCUACUUCUAUUGCAUCCUUUCUGUCUUCUUCGAUCCACUUAUGAUUGUAAGACUCUGUCUAAUGCAUUGCUUAUUAUCUCUCUUCGUAUUGUGAGGACAAAAGUGUUUGAAAGUACCAUUGAUAAGGUAAAAAAAAUCCACCAGCACAAUAUAGGACUGACCGCUGAAGAAGUCCCUAGGCAUCGAUCUGCUUAGGGAAGGGUCUGUGGGAUGGCAGGAGAUCAUAGGGCUAGUGCAUCUCAAUAGCACACUGUCUUGAGGUUUCUGGCUGUAGUCACUGUCACUUCAAUCACCCAGAACAGAAAUGCUGCACAGGGAAUCUGCUUUCAUUACCUUGCUGUUCUUUUCUGUCCUCCCCAGAAGAGAUAAUACCAAGUAGGAGACUACAAGAGUUAACAGACAACUGGGGGAAGACUCUACCUACAAAUUGCAGGAUAGAUACAGCAAGUGAAAGUUCAUUCUCCAGUAUAACAAGAUGAAUCUUACUUGUGGGAUUCUGUUUUGCCAGCAGCUUUCACUGAACACAACAAAAAACAACAGCAUUUUAGUCAGGUUGAAGAGUUUCAGUACAAAUGAAGUACAAAUUCAAUCUACCUUUUUCAAACUACUUAUUGUCCUCAUGCAUUAAAUCCUUGCUAUGCUCACUGAAAUGUAUUUUGUGUAACAUUAUUUCUUGAAAAGCAUUACCAUUUAUUAACUACAUACAAACACGUAACACAUAGCCAGUACUUGAAUCUUGCUCCUCAAGGAUCAGCAGUUGGUGUUACAGAGCCCGAGGUUCCUUGAGACUUCUGCAGGGUGAUAUCAGAGUUCUGAGAACUUUAAAACUUCUGUAAGAACUCGGUUGUUGCUAUCAAGGUCAAUUUCCCUUCU
This is a non-coding RNA of Meleagris gallopavo (turkey), 2168 nucleotides long. NCBI's taxonomy places the organism in Eukaryota, Metazoa, Chordata, Aves, Galliformes, Phasianidae. The record is from RefSeq and is a predicted model, not a curated record.